This 320-nucleotide ribosomal RNA is filed under the name uncultured eukaryote. Its description in RNAcentral is "partial 18S ribosomal RNA". It matches the Rfam family "Eukaryotic small subunit ribosomal RNA", at positions 1470 to 1796 of the family's 1831-position model. The record is from RNAcentral.
CCCCUAGAUGUUCUGGGCCGCACGCGCGCUACACUGAACAGUUCAACAAGUCUUAACCUUGGCCGAUAGGUCUGGGUAAUCUUUGAACGCUGUUCGUGAUUGGGAUAGACCUAUGCAAUUAUGGGUCUUCAACGAGGAAUUCCUAGUAAACGCAAGUCAUCAGCUUGCAUUGAUUACGUCCCUGCCCUUUGUACACACCGCCCGUCGCACCUACCGAUUGAAUGGUCCGGUGAAAUCUCGGGACGGCGGCUUGGUCGCUUGCGUCCGACUGCUGAAACUUGAUUAAACCAUAUCAUUUAGAGGAAGGUGAAGUCGUAACA